This 429-nucleotide ribosomal RNA is filed under the name Bacillota bacterium. RNAcentral's name for it is "Firmicutes bacterium partial 16S ribosomal RNA". It matches the Rfam family "Bacterial small subunit ribosomal RNA", at positions 355 to 776 of the family's 1533-position model. Lineage: Bacteria; Bacillati; Bacillota. The record is from RNAcentral.
UGGGGAAUUUUGGACAAUGGGCGAAAGCCUGAUCCAGCAAUGCCGCGUGUGUGAAGAAGGCCUUCGGGUUGUAAAGCACUUUUGUCCGGAAAGAUAUGGCUCUGGUUAAUACCUGGGGUCGAUGACGGUACCGGAAGAAUAAGGACCGGCUAACUACGUGCCAGCAGCCGCGGUAAUACGUAGGGUCCAAGCGUUAAUCGGAAUUACUGGGCGUAAAGCGUGCGCAGGCGGUUGUGCAAGACCGAUGUGAAAUCCCCGAGCUUAACUUGGGAAUUGCAUUGGUGACUGCACGGCUAGAGUGUGUCAGAGGGGGGUAGAAUUCCACGUGUAGCAGUGAAAUGCGUAGAGAUGUGGAGGAAUACCGAUGGCGAAGGCAGCCCCCUGGGAUAACACUGACGCGCAUGCACGAAAGCGUGGGGAGCAAACAGG